Molecule: long non-coding RNA, 984 nt
Organism: Centrocercus urophasianus (Greater sage-grouse)
Lineage: Eukaryota; Metazoa; Chordata; Aves; Galliformes; Phasianidae
Exons: 2
Source: RefSeq, a predicted model, not a curated record
CAACAUCCACCUCUAAUAUCAUAAUACAACAGAAGGCAUUAUUUUUGGAGCAGCCCUCGUACGAUGCACUUGCUAAAAAAGGAGCAUUACCAGCAUAGCCAACAGAAGCAUUUCUAGCUGUGAUGCUGACAGUUUUUCCUAAAGGACAGUACAAGGACCACUAUAUUGCCAAAAUUUCUCUCUCAGUAAAUAAAACUUGGAUCCUACUUUUUUGGAGAUAUGGAAAGGCUAAAACAGGGGGACCAGUUAUUGAAGUGGUGCUGCAGCAUUGGUUCUGCAAUACCCCUUCUCACUUAGACUGCAGCAAUGUUAAAAGUGAACCACUGACAGAUAGGUGACUGCAGGCAUUUGAGUACCUUCUCCCAGGAAGAGUGGGGUGGAUGAUUUAAUGCUACUCUUUCCUUAGGCUACCCCCACUACAGUUACUUGUUGACACCGUGCACAAUGAACAGAAUGACUUGAGUAUUAAAUACAUUGCUGGAGGUCUCACUGAACUGCUAUUAGAAGCCGUCAAAAAAAGCAAACAAAACAUUGCUAUUUUCCACUGAGCUCUUUAUACAGCCUAAAACCUUAAUACUGUUAUAUAAAAAUCAAUGGCCUUGCUUAAGAACAUCGUGAUCCGCUCUAAUCAAGCUCUCUCGUAGGCAUGGUAUGAAGCAUAUGGAGAGUGGUGACUGAAACACGAGGUGUACGAUUGGAAGCCAUUUGCAAGACAGGGACUGCUUCAGAAGGGGGAUAUUAAGGAACGUUGCUGGAGGCUUGAGCUGUGAUGAGUUGCUUGGACAGCACACUGGCUAAAGCCCAUCAAACAUCUCCAAAGUUGUCAUGGAAGGAGGCACAUUUAAAUACUGAUUUUGGAAGUGGGAUUGAUGGGACAGUGGAAAGGUUCAAAGAUCACAGGAAACAGCUAGCAAGUGCCAAACUGCAGAAGAACUGAGGCAUUUCUGAGAAAAUGAAUACAUAAAUAAAAAUAGUAAAAUUGUA